UCGCGUCCCAUAAUUCACGGUCAAAAUCUGAAACAAGUGCCUUGCACUGUUACAGUGGCGUCCUCGUUCACGCCAAUUGGGCGAACAGCUUGGUUGGAACUGUGCCUAGGAUCGUCUCUCCUGCAGGACGGGAAGGGAAAAUUUCAAUUUCCUCUAAAUCAAACCAAAGCACCUGAACGUAUUUUUAUUCAAAUUACGCGCAACAUCCAGAAGCGGACGAGUACUGCUCGUCGAUGCUAGCUUGGAGCGAGGGGGAAUGUAAAAUCCUAAGAAUGCGAUGAAGUUUUGCAUUCGAUGGGGAACAAAAUUGCGCGCACGACGCAAGUUUCGGCUUCGGAGUAUUAUCUUCAUGACCUGCCCUCCACCUACAAUCUCGUCUUGAAGGAGGUUUUAGGUCGGGGCCGUUUCUUCAAGUCUAUUCAGUGCAAGCAUGAUGAGGGUUUGGUUUCUAGUCAAGGUCUAUUUCAAGCGUGGUGACUUCAUCGAUCUCAAAGAGUACGAACGGCGUUUGAGUCAGAUUAGAGACAUUUUCCGUGGCAUUGAUCAACCCCACGUCUGGCCCUUUCAGUUUUGGCAAGAAACGGACAAAGCAGCAUAUCUCUUGAGGCAACAUUUCUUCAUAAUCUGCAUGAUCGACUCAGUACUCGACCUUUUCUCAGUCUUAUUAGAAGAAAUGGUUGGCUUUUCAGUUGCUUCUAGCCGUGAAACAGAGCCAUGAGAAGGGAGUAUGCCAUGGUGAUAUUAAGUGCGAGAAUGUUCUGAUUACAUCCUGGAAUUGGCUUUACCUUGCGGACUUUGCAUCCUUCAAGCCCACUCACAUCCCAUAUGAUGACCCCUCAGAUUUUUCUUUUU
Prosopis cineraria is the source of this 852-nucleotide long non-coding RNA. RefSeq lists it as uncharacterized. NCBI's taxonomy places the organism in Eukaryota, Viridiplantae, Streptophyta, Magnoliopsida, Fabales, Fabaceae. The record is from RefSeq and is a predicted model, not a curated record. The transcript has 4 exons.